UAUGAGUAACACGUGAGUAACCUGCCCUAGACUCUGGGAUAAGCCUGGGAAACUGGGUCUAAUACUGGAUAUGACUUCUCACCGCAUGGUGGGGGGUGGAAAGAUUUAUUGGUCUUGGAUGGACUCGCGGCCUAUCAGCUUGUUGGUGAGGUAAUGGCUCACCAAGGUAGACGACGGGUAGCCGGCCUGAGAGGGUGACCGGCCACACUGGGACUGAGACACGGCCCAGACUCCUACGGGAGGCAGCAGUGGGGAAUAUUGCACAAUGGGCGCAAGCCUGAUGCAGCGACGCCGCGUGAGGGAUGACGGCCUUCGGGUUGUAAACCUCUUUCAGUAGGGAAGAAGCGAAAGUGACGGUACCUGCAGAAGAAGCGCCGGCUAACUACGUGCCAGCAGCCGCGGUAAUACGUAGGGCGCGAGCGUUAUCCGGAAUUAUUGGGCGUAAAGAGCUCGUAGGCGGUUUGUCGCGUCUGCCGUGAAAGUCCCGGGGCUUAACCCCGGAUCUGCGGUGGGUACGGGCAGACUAGAGUGCAGUAGGGGAGACUGGAAUUCCUGGUGUAGCGGUGAAAUGCGCAGAUAUCAGGAGGAACACCGAUGGCGAAGGCAGGUCUCUGGGCUGUAACUGACGCUGAGGGAGCGAAAGCAUGGGGAGCGAACAGGAUUAGAUACCCUGGUAGUCCAUGCCGUAAACGUUGGGCACUAGGUGUGGGGGACAUUCCACGUUUUCCGCGCCGUAGCUAACGCAUUAAGUGCCCCGCCUGGGGAGUACGGCCGCAAGGCUAAAACUCAAAGGAUAUGAUAGGGGCCCGCACAAGCGGCGGAGCAUGCGGAUUAAUUCGAUGCAACGCGAAGAACCUUACCAAGGCUUGACAUGUUCCUGACCGCCGUAGAGAUACGGUUUCCCCUUUGGGGCAGGUUCACAGGUGGUGCAUGGUUGUCGUCAGCUCGUGUCGUGAGAUGUUGGGUUAAGUCCCGCAACGAGCGCAACCCUCGUUCCAAGUUGCCAGCACGUGGUGGUGGGGACUCAUGGGAGACUGCCG
Molecule: ribosomal RNA, 1040 nt
Filed under: Citricoccus sp. bact2
Lineage: Bacteria; Bacillati; Actinomycetota; Actinomycetes; Micrococcales; Micrococcaceae
Description: bacterial SSU rRNA
Rfam family: Bacterial small subunit ribosomal RNA
Source: RNAcentral